GGUCUAAGUCAGCAUUUCACUGUUGGUCUACACCUGUUGUUAACAAGGCAUGUGAUGAUGUUUUGUCCCAGAAAACCCUGAAUAUCCAGGAUGUUGGGAUGAUGCCAAUGGGAGCCAUGACUGCAGCAGCAACACCUGCAGCUCUGGCAGUGGAAGAGGACGCGGCACCAGUCAAGAAAGAGAAGACACACUUCACAGUAAAACUGACAGAACUGAAGGCAGCAGAGAAAG
This is a long non-coding RNA of Oncorhynchus tshawytscha (Chinook salmon), 231 nucleotides long. RefSeq lists it as uncharacterized. The transcript has 2 exons. Lineage: Eukaryota; Metazoa; Chordata; Actinopteri; Salmoniformes; Salmonidae. The record is from RefSeq and is a predicted model, not a curated record. The annotation marks the transcript as partial.